Molecule: long non-coding RNA, 1968 nt
Organism: Myotis myotis
Lineage: Eukaryota; Metazoa; Chordata; Mammalia; Chiroptera; Vespertilionidae
Exons: 3
Source: RefSeq, a predicted model, not a curated record
AAAUAAUCUAUCCUCAUUUCUAUUCGUUUAUUCUUUACUUCCCUAGAUCAUAUCACCAUUUUCAGUCCUUUCUUUUCUCAGAUUCACAAUAUUAGAACUGCAAAUCGCCUCACUUUUCAGUUGAAGCCAUUGACAUCAAAAGAGGAAAGGGUCUUGUCCUUUCUGAAGGUGGAAGAGUCCACUAGCUUUGGACCCAUAGGACCAAGAUUUUGGCUUCUGGUCAACACUACGCCGACAAGGCAUUUAACCCCUUCACCACAAGGAGUAAACCAAGCCAGCUCAGCACUUCCUGUUUACCUCCUGGUAAUACAUAUUGUACAUGGUGACAGGCCUGCUCACAAAAUAAGCUUCCUUGGUUUAAGUCUGCAUUUUCUGGUUAGGCAACCAGCCUGACGAUAUUUAAACAAUGAAGCAAUUUGGCUAUGGAAGCCUUGUCCUAACCUUCCCCACUUCAAUUGUCCGUGGAAAGGAGAGGCCCUGAAUCUAAUUAGGACCGAAAUGGGGCAUCACACAGUGCCUUUCAUUUGAGAAUAUCAAAACAUUGUCAACUCUUAAACUUGAAGUGUGUAACAUGGGCGACCACAAAGAUAGUAGCGUCUCGUUCUCCGUGGGCCUUAUCUUACCUGGCUGAAAACUUCCAGGCUGUCGGACUCCGUCCAUUUGCUCAGCAAGGAGACUUCUGACCCUGACCGCAUCUCAGCUGCACCCAGACGGGACCCUUUCCAACCCACUGCAGCCCAGACAAGCACAGGGCGCCGCCAUGUCACAAAUAAUUCCAUGCUUAGAAUUCAGGCCCCUGAAUUGGGGGAAUUUACCGUAGGAGCUGACUGAAGCAAAAUGUCCAGAUUUAAUCACUUCUGAAUUUAAUUUCACACACAUAUUUUACUCCUGAUAUCCUCUGCAUCGAACACUUUCCCACAAGAAGAUGAAGUGGCGAACACGGUUCGCUUCCCCCGGGGAACCCAUGCCCAAGGUGUGUGUUUUGCUUCAUUUUUUAAAGAAUUCUUUUGGCCAAUACACAUCCUCCGAGUUACUGUGUAAAAUCCAGUGCCUGAUUCCGAAAUUGUGUGCAUCUGCUGGACAUACACCCUGUUAAACGCUCAUGACUGCCGACAAAUGUGAAAAGUAUUACCAGGCCUAUUUUUAACAUUGUUUUGGCAAGGCUGCUGCUGUGGGGGGGAAAUUCCUAUAGAAUCUUAAUGAGCAAACUGAAUGAUUCUUUGAAAUGUGGUUGUGAUUCCCCGACUUAUAGUGGUGAUGUCAGUGGUGCUGAGAAGCAAGAAACAGUAGAAUCGCUCAUUUGCCAGCAGGCUCCAGAGAGACCCCAGAGGGCUGUGCGGACGGGCCUGCGCCUUCCCUACCGCUCUGAGGGCUACGUGUGUCCCCGCCCAGGGCACGUCUCACGCGCUGGGUCUGCCAUCUCUGCGAGCCUGUGUCACCGAAGGGCACACUGUCCGUGUGUGCUUUUACGGGACCUGACCCGCCGCUGGCCUUUUUCUGUUUGUCACCCGCAUUUGUCUUCCAGAGAAGGACCACCUGUUCCAGCUGCUGGAGAGAGACAUGGCUUUCCUCCCGCUCCCUGAGUCCCCUUGGUAGCACUGAACGGCAAGGGACCAGAAGUUCAAACUCUGAGGACAGGGGAAGGGAAGCCUGAAGGAGGCCUGUCCGCAUGUCCUCACGCACACCAUCCCUGCGGCCUCCUCGCCACCCACUCUGAAUCCUCUGUGUCCUGUCCUCAGUGGCACCGGCCCCAUUGGAACGAGGCGUCAGGCCGUUCAGCUCCGGUGACUUGCACAGGCUGCGCCCUGCACACAAGCAGGCCUGGGGGCCCGCGUGGGGCCUUCACCAGCGGGCGCUGCCUGGCCGAGCCUGGCGUCCUGCUCGGGGACACGUGUCCGCCUAGAGCAGUGAUGGCGAACCUAUGACACGCGUGUCAGAGGUGACACGCAAACUCAUUUUUUUGGUUGA